This 48-nucleotide non-coding RNA is filed under the name Alloalcanivorax dieselolei. Its description in RNAcentral is "Alcanivorax dieselolei Guanidine-II sequence". It matches the Rfam family "Guanidine-II riboswitch aptamer (mini-ykkC)". Rfam says of the family: Simpler in structure and has fewer highly conserved nucleotide positions than the ykkC-yxkD leader. Despite this each of its two stem-loop structures directly bind free guanidine. Therefore, mini-ykkC RNA motif represents a distinct class of guanidine-sensing RNAs. RNAcentral also lists the same sequence under 1 other name. The record is from RNAcentral. Lineage: Bacteria; Pseudomonadati; Pseudomonadota; Gammaproteobacteria; Oceanospirillales; Alcanivoracaceae.
CGCCGGGGACGACCCCGGAAGCCGGAUGCUUACGGCGGGACGGCCCGC